Molecule: long non-coding RNA, 1062 nt
Filed under: Olea europaea (common olive)
Lineage: Eukaryota; Viridiplantae; Streptophyta; Magnoliopsida; Lamiales; Oleaceae
Description: long non-coding RNA (OEUR_LNC005666)
Source: RNAcentral
CGGGAAAACUUUGUUAAGGAAAACAAAGGAUGGGAAGAUUGUUGGGUGGAAUGUCGAAGACGAUGAUUCUUCUUGCACUCUACAAGAAGCCUUUCAUAAAGUUAAUCCUUCUCUCGGAUUCAACAUCGAAUUGAAGUUUGAUGAUCACAUUGUGUAUCAAGAAGAAUAUCUAGUCAGUGUACUCCAAGCGAUUUUGCAAGUUACAUAUGAAAAUGCGAAGGAAAGACCAGUUAUCUUUUCCACGUUUCAACCAGAUGCUGCUUUGCUUAUGAAAAAACUUCAGAACACAUACCCUGUGAGUACGCUAAUUGGAUUCCAUUGAUUUCUUUUACUGGAGAGUGUUCUAUGGAUCUUAAUCACUAUAUCGUUUACGGAUGUAUUUACAAUGGGGUAGGAUGCUGACUUACAGUAAAUGUGUCAGGUAUUUUUCCUCACAAACGGAGGAAACGAGAUUUACUAUGAUGUAAGAAGGAAUUCAUUGGAGGAGGCCAUCAAACUAUGCUUAGAGGGUGGUUUGCAGGGAAUUGUUUCGGAAGUCCGAGGCAUAUUUACAAAUCCUGGGACUGUGACAAAGAUCAAAGAAUCAAAGCUCUCUCUCCUGACAUACGGAAAAUUAAAGUAAGUGAUACUUGUAUCCUUGUUAUUACUGUAAAUAUUUGAAGUCUUUGAAUACUGAUAAUUUGCUUCAUUUAUCUCAGCAAUGUGCCUGAAGCCGUGUAUAUGCAACAUUUAAUGGGCAUCGACGGAGUAAUUGUGGAUUUAGUUCGAGAAAUAACAGAGACUGUUUCCAAUAUGAUGAAGCCAUCUGAGGAAGCAGUAUCUGGAGAGGGACAAAUUCCAGGACAAGGAAAACCUCAAUUUUCACAAACGGAAUUGACGUUUCUGCUUAAACUGAUUCCAGAAUUGGUACAACAAUGAUUCUUUCUGAAUGUUUUCUUCAAACUUGAAGAGUAUAGGUGGUCUACAAUGUUUCUACUUCUGUACAGGAGUUGGUAAUCUACGACAGUAUGUGUACCAUUAACAGUUCACACGUAUUUGGUGUCUGGUCUGGACCUUUUUCAU